Molecule: ribosomal RNA, 459 nt
Filed under: uncultured bacterium
Lineage: Bacteria
Description: partial 16S ribosomal RNA
Rfam family: Bacterial small subunit ribosomal RNA
Source: RNAcentral
CCUACGGGUGACAGCAGUGAGGAAUAUUGGUCAAUGGACGAGAGUCUGAACCAGCCAAGUAGCGUGAAGGAUGACUGCCCUAUGGGUUGUAAACUUCUUUUAUAAAGGAAUAAAACGAGGCACGUGUGCCUUUUUGCAUGUACUUUAUGAAUAAGGAUCGGCUAACUCCGUGCCAGCAGCCGCGGUAAUACGGAGGAUCCGAGCUUUAUCCGGAUUUAUUGGGUUUAAAGGGAGCGUAGAUGGGUUGUUAAGUCAGGUGUAAAAGUUUGCGGCUCAACCGUAAAAUUGCAAUUGAUACUGGCAGUCUUGAGUACAGUUGAGGUAGGCGGAAUUCGUGGUGUAGCGGUGAAAUGCUUAGAUAUCACGAAGAACCCCGAUUGCGAAGGCAGCUUACUAAACUGUGACUGACAUUGAUGCUCGAAAGUGUGGGUAUCAAACAGGAUUAGAUACCCAGUAGUC